This is a long non-coding RNA of Bombina bombina (fire-bellied toad), 283 nucleotides long. RefSeq lists it as uncharacterized. NCBI's taxonomy places the organism in Eukaryota, Metazoa, Chordata, Amphibia, Anura, Bombinatoridae. The transcript is spliced from 3 exons. The record is from RefSeq and is a predicted model, not a curated record.
AGGAAAGGUGACGUCACAUGUCUGCUGUGACCACACUGUAAUGAAAACUACCGGAAGUAGCUGGGCGGGAAAUCUAUUAUGCAGAUUGCUACACGGUGAGGCUUGGAUCCCCUACAAUAAAGAGCUGACCGUGCAAGAUCGUCUGUACACUGGGAGCUGCAGCGGCAGAUUGCUGUACGAUGAGGCUUGGAUUCCCUACAAUAAAGAGCUGACAGUGCAAGAAUACAGUGCUUGUCAGACGGAUGUGAAGGGAGUCUUAUGACUCCAUGUUUCUUUCAUAUAG